AGGAGUGUGACAGACUGUGCAGCA
RNAcentral lists this non-coding RNA (24 nucleotides) under Arabidopsis thaliana (thale cress). Lineage: Eukaryota; Viridiplantae; Streptophyta; Magnoliopsida; Brassicales; Brassicaceae. The record is from RNAcentral.